RNAcentral lists this long non-coding RNA (1881 nucleotides) under Mus musculus (house mouse). RNAcentral's name for it is "long non-coding RNA chr16:72794885-72796766". The record is from RNAcentral. Lineage: Eukaryota; Metazoa; Chordata; Mammalia; Rodentia; Muridae.
UUCAAGGCCCCACUUCGAGGGUGACAUUUGCAUAAAAUUUUACAGCAGUGAAGGAUCCAGGGAGACAGAAGGAAGAGAGAAACAAGUAAGGAUUGUCAACUCUUCAACAGCUUGGCUUUUAUUAAACUCAUUUCUUCCAAUCUGCUUUCUUUCCCAUUCUAUAGUAUGUUGUUAAUUUUUAAGCUUUGUCUGUUUCUUCCUAUAUCUUUUUUUUUUCUUUUAACCAACUGCCUCUCUCCACACUUUUCCUAGGAGUUAGUUUCUGUGUUCCUUCCAUCCAAACGAGGCUCAUGCUGUUAUGAACACAGAGUUCCCAAGCAGGAAUCAAAACCCCAUAUUGUCAAGCUGCCCAGCUGGCACUCAACAUGCCAGUCUCUGCUCCUGCCACAUUGCUGACUUCUAACAUUUCUGCCCAGAUAGAAAGAAACAUUCUGCAUGCACUGCAGGACCAUGUUUGCCUUAAAGGCAAAGCGCUUUCGUGUCUUUGUGCCCCGAUGUGUAUGUGUGCUUCCUUCUGGUCAUGGCUCUCUUGAGACAGUCAACUUGUUUAGUUUAAUUUUAGAAAUCUGUAUACAGUAAACUCAGGAAUGUAAUUUAAUUUGGAGAGAAGGCAUGCUUGUAGCCCAGGCAUUCCUCUAAUGGGCUUCUCUGGCAUAUGUGGGGAAAAAAAAAGUGCUAUCUUGGCUCAUCCUUAUUUCUUCUGGAAACUUACAAAAUUUAAUCAGGCAGGCACAUUUUUGGGGGAAAAAUCUUAAUGCAAAUUAAAUGUGACAGGAAGGAAGUAAAUCACUGUUUUAGCAAAUGUACUUCGAGACAUUAUUUUCUCAAAUUGACUUCAUUGAUGGCCAUGUCUGAAAGCUUUGGAAUAGUUUUUCUUUUUUCCUUGAAGCUGCAGCACCCACUGAGGUGAGAGGUGAGAAUCUUUUUUACAAAGCUGCUUGCUCUCUGUGAACUGCAGGUAAGGAUGCUGACAUCGCCUUUGGGGCUGUGAGGCUUUGUGUGUAGGGAAUGCAUCAUCUUGUUGGGAGCAGACUAGAGAGCCCUUUUCCAGUUUGAGGACCCAUUGUUUACAUCCUGGCUACAUCUAAUAUGACACACAGGGAGCAUCGGGGUUUGGUGGGGGGUUGGGCAGCCAUUAUUUCAGACAACUCAUGGGUCUUAAAUCAAUCUUAAUGUAAUAGCUAGCUAUUUUAUGUCCAGGCUCAGGAAUUUUGAUAAGACUUGUACAGUUUCUAGGGUUUUGGGAGGUGGGUUCACCGUGACCUGAGACAGAGACUGGGCUCGUUUCUCAUCAGGCAGCACACCACUGCAGAAUUGAUCUAAGCUUCUAUAUGUCUUUGAAGUCAGGACAAGAAAGGAAGCCAGGGGGCUUUAUGAAAUGUAAAGAGCUACUGUUUCAAGGCAGAGAAAGAUCUUCUGUGGCAUGUUUGUUUUCUGACUCUGUUCAUUUCUGAGGUUGAAGUGGUUGCUUACAUUUAACUCGACUGACAUGCUAAAAACGACGUGUUUGUGUGUCCCGAGUGAAAUAAAGGGGUAUUUGAAGUUAGACUUGUUCUGGGCAUUAUCAUUAGCUGUUUGAUGUAUUGCCACAAAAGCUAGCAUCUGCAUCUUUUGCCAUAGCUCCCACCACAGCUGAAGUCUGAUUCCACUGUGAUCAGACUAUGUACUGAAAACCUGCACACCGAUAAAUUCAGAUUUCUAAAUCACUGGCUAAGAAGCAAUACAUUUUUUUAUCAUCUCAGUCUGCAGGAAGAAGAUAUUUCAUUUAGUCAUGUAGAACUCCUCUGGAGAUGUAGGCUUCCGGUUACUGCUGAGAACUUUGUAUUUUCAUUAUGAGAAAGAUAUUAUAAGCUUAAAUAUUUUAAGUGAUUUGGGACAUGU